UACGAAGGGGGCUAGCGUUGCUCGGAAUCACUGGGCGUAAAGCGCACGUAGGCGGAUCUUUUAAGUCAGGGGUGAAAUCCCAAGGCUCAACCUUGGAACUGCCUUUGAUACUGGGGAUCUCGAGUCCGGAAGAGGUUGGUGGAACUGCGAGUGUAGAGGUGAAAUUCGUAGAUAUUCGCAAGAACACCAGUGGCGAAGGCGGCCAACUGGUCCGGUACUGACGCUGAGGUGCGAAAGCGUGGGGAGCAAACAGGG
Molecule: ribosomal RNA, 255 nt
Filed under: uncultured bacterium
Lineage: Bacteria
Description: partial 16S ribosomal RNA
Rfam family: Bacterial small subunit ribosomal RNA
Source: RNAcentral